RNAcentral lists this non-coding RNA (221 nucleotides) under Listeria floridensis. RNAcentral's name for it is "T-box sequence". It matches the Rfam family "T-box leader". Rfam says of the family: Uncharged tRNA acts as the effector for transcription antitermination of genes in the T-box leader family. T-boxes are found upstream of many aminoacyl-tRNA synthetase genes and some amino acid biosynthetic genes usually in Gram-positive bacteria. The anticodon of a specific tRNA base pairs to a specifier sequence within the T-box motif, and the NCCA acceptor tail of the tRNA base pairs to a conserved bulge in the T-box antiterminator hairpin. Lineage: Bacteria; Bacillati; Bacillota; Bacilli; Caryophanales; Listeriaceae. The record is from RNAcentral.
UUGAGACUUAAGACGAAGAAAAGUAGGGGCUUCACUCCCAAAUAAGAGAGGAUUUCGAUAGCUGAGAGAAAUCUAUGGUGAUAAGUACUUGAAAGACACUUCCGAGGUUUUGGCCGAAAGAACGAGUAGGCUAAGACGUAUUCCGGCGUUAACGGAAAAGUGGGAAUGUUUUCAUUCCAAUUAGGGUGGUACCACGGGUAAAUUAAUCUCUCGUCCCUUGU